Molecule: transfer RNA, 66 nt
Filed under: Hylomys suillus (short-tailed gymnure)
Lineage: Eukaryota; Metazoa; Chordata; Mammalia; Eulipotyphla; Erinaceidae
Also listed under: 1 other name
Description: tRNA-Cys
Rfam family: tRNA
About the family: Transfer RNA (tRNA) molecules are approximately 80 nucleotides in length. Their secondary structure includes four short double-helical elements and three loops (D, anti-codon, and T loops). Further hydrogen bonds mediate the characteristic L-shaped molecular structure. tRNAs have two regions of fundamental functional importance: the anti-codon, which is responsible for specific mRNA codon recognition, and the 3' end, to which the tRNAs corresponding amino acid is attached (by aminoacyl-tRNA synthetases). tRNAs cope with the degeneracy of the genetic code in two manners: having more than one tRNA (with a specific anti-codon) for a particular amino acid; and 'wobble' base-pairing, i.e. permitting non-standard base-pairing at the 3rd anti-codon position.
Source: RNAcentral
GGCUCUGAGGUGUAAAUCAUAUUGAAUUGCAAAUUCAAAGAAGCAGCUUCAAUUCUGCCGGGGCCU